This 253-nucleotide ribosomal RNA is filed under the name uncultured bacterium. Its description in RNAcentral is "partial 16S ribosomal RNA". It matches the Rfam family "Bacterial small subunit ribosomal RNA", at positions 524 to 776 of the family's 1533-position model. The record is from RNAcentral.
UACGUAGGGUGCAAGCGUUAAUCGGAAUUACUGGGCGUAAAGCGUGCGCAGGCGGUUUGUUAAGUCAGCUGUGAAAUCCCCGGGCUCAACCUGGGAAUGGCAGUUGAGACUGGCAGGCUAGAGUGUGUCAGAGGGGGGUAGAAUUCCACGUGUAGCAGUGAAAUGCGUAGAGAUGUGGAGGAAUACCGAUGGCGAAGGCAGCCCCCUGGGAUAACACUGACGCUCAUGCACGAAAGCGUGGGGAGCAAACAGG